RNAcentral lists this ribosomal RNA (253 nucleotides) under uncultured bacterium. RNAcentral's name for it is "partial 16S ribosomal RNA". It matches the Rfam family "Bacterial small subunit ribosomal RNA", at positions 524 to 776 of the family's 1533-position model. The record is from RNAcentral.
CACGUAGGGUGCGAGCGUUGUCCGGAUUUAUUGGGCGUAAAGAGCUCGUAGGCGGCUUGUCGCGUCGUCCGUGAAAACUUGGGGCUCAACCCCAAGCUUGCGGUCGAUACGGGCAGGCUAGAGUUCGGUAGGGGAGACUGGAAUUCCUGGUGUAGCGGUGAAAUGCGCAGAUAUCAGGAGGAACACCGGUGGCGAAGGCGGGUCUCUGGGCCGAUACUGACGCUGAGGAGCGAAAGCGUGGGGAGCGAACAGG